ACAUGUGUAUGUUUGUUGAAAUAAACUUCUCUUUACCUGUUCUUAUCAGCUUAAUAUCUGAUACGGCCCUAUUAUGGGUCUUUCGAUAUUAAAUGAAUUUUUGUAAGGCGGCGCCGAGUGCGGGGCUUGCCCCACCGGCGCCACGGGUCGUCCCGGCAUUGCACUGCCGUCGGGUGCGGCCCACUUGUG
RNAcentral lists this small nuclear RNA (189 nucleotides) under Dermacentor silvarum. Its description in RNAcentral is "U2 spliceosomal RNA". It matches the Rfam family "U2 spliceosomal RNA". Rfam says of the family: U2 is a small nuclear RNA (snRNA) component of the spliceosome (involved in pre-mRNA splicing). Complementary binding between U2 snRNA (in an area lying towards the 5' end but 3' to hairpin I) and the branchpoint sequence (BPS) of the intron results the bulging out of an unpaired adenosine, on the BPS, which initiates a nucleophilic attack at the intronic 5' splice site, thus starting the first of two transesterification reactions that mediate splicing. Lineage: Eukaryota; Metazoa; Arthropoda; Arachnida; Ixodida; Ixodidae. The record is from RNAcentral.